Esox lucius (northern pike) is the source of this 1071-nucleotide long non-coding RNA. Lineage: Eukaryota; Metazoa; Chordata; Actinopteri; Esociformes; Esocidae. The record is from Ensembl.
CGAGAAUGGCGGUUCUACCAGACAGGAUGUAUCAAUAUAUUUGGUUGUCAAACGGUAACAAUAAUCAGAACUAAAUAGUUCAGUUUUAUCCUGAAUUUUUAUCAUUGCAGCCUGUAUAGUUCUAACACAAUUUGAAUCUAACAUGAAGAACGAUGACAUGUAACCAAUGACAAAGUUAAGAGGCGUGACUUGCUGGAGGCGCCCCGGCUGCGAUGUGAAGACAGUAAUUAAACACUGCAGCAUCCACAAAAGUCAGCUGUUGUUUCAAGCGUGGAGUAUAUCGUUUCGGUUGUAAGUACAAGUUAUUUUAUUUGAAGUAAUUUAUUUGAAUUGUGAUGCAAAUACAAACGAGACAUUUUAACUUUUUAAGAAUGUGUAAAUCAAUUUUACGAUUGCGCAAUCCAUUCAUUUUUAGCUGUCUUUCAUAUUGCCUGUUUAAAUCUCUGGUUUAGGUUGAGCAGAAUUAAACACAGACCGUGUUUGGUAAACACAUUUUUGGACCUCCAAAUCUUGUCCAAGUGACCAGCAUCUGCGUCAGUUGGACUAGUCGGUCAGACUGUGAUCUUACACAACCUGAGCAGAUACUUUUAUGUAUUGAGGACAGCCGGUUGAUGAUACAAAGUACAUUACCACAAUGGGUUCAGUUACAGACACCCUUCCUUGUGGCUGCCCAGCGUGAGGGGAUUUUUGUUUUGUUUUCUUUCAGGCUUGAAAGCUGAAGUGUUGACUUCAACAAUUUUGGGGGCUCGGUCCGGGAUUGGAAAAAGGAGAAGGAAUUCGACCUGGUCCAGACAACCUACACGAGAUUCACAGGUUCCGAGCCGGCUCAUGAUAAAGGUAAGCAGAGCCUGUUAUAUCUAAAUCUGCAUAUUGGCUGUGAACUAAAUUGUGAACCUGUGGAGAAUGUAGUGGUACUGGUAUAAAUUCAGGAGGGCGAGGCAAUUGGUAUUUGUUCUCGGGUUGACUACCCCAGACCACUUCCCAACGGGGAAGGUGGAGAUUGUAAGCAGGAGACUUAACGAUCAGUCAGGUGAACGGCCCGAGGAGAUAGGGACACCUCGAACAUAACGG